This 372-nucleotide ribosomal RNA is filed under the name uncultured organism. RNAcentral's name for it is "bacterial SSU rRNA". It matches the Rfam family "Bacterial small subunit ribosomal RNA", at positions 526 to 896 of the family's 1533-position model. The record is from RNAcentral.
CAGAGGUCCCGAGCGUUGUUCGGAUUCACUGGGCGUAAAGGGUGCGUAGGUGGCGGGGUAAGUUUGAUGUGAAAUCUCCGGGCUUAACCCGGAAACUGCAUUGAAUACUAUUCUGCUCGAGGUUUGGAGGGGGGACUGGAAUUCUCGGUGUAGCAGUGAAAUGCGUAGAUAUCGAGAGGAACACCAGUGGCGAAGGCGAGUCCCUGGACAACACCUGACACUGAGGCACGAAAGCUAGGGGAGCAAACAGGAUUAGAUACCCUGGUAGUCCUAGCUGUAAACGGUGCACAUUUGCUGUAAAAGGAAUCGACCCCUUUUGUGGCGAAGCUAACGCGAUAAAUGUGCCGCCUGGGAAGUACGGUCGCAAGAUUA